Molecule: ribosomal RNA, 524 nt
Filed under: Escherichia coli
Lineage: Bacteria; Pseudomonadati; Pseudomonadota; Gammaproteobacteria; Enterobacterales; Enterobacteriaceae
Description: bacterial SSU rRNA
Rfam family: Bacterial small subunit ribosomal RNA
Source: RNAcentral
UUCGCUGACGAGUGGCGGACGGGUGAGUAAUGUCUGGGAAACUGCCUGAUGGAGGGGGAUAACUACUGGAAACGGUAGCUAAUACCGCAUAACGUCGCAAGACCAAAGAGGGGGACCUUCGGGCCUCUUGCCAUCGGAUGUGCCCAGAUGGGAUUAGCUAGUAGGUGGGGUAACGGCUCACCUAGGCGACGAUCCCUAGCUGGUCUGAGAGGAUGACCAGCCACACUGGAACUGAGACACGGUCCAGACUCCUACGGGAGGCAGCAGUGGGGAAUAUUGCACAAUGGGCGCAAGCCUGAUGCAGCCAUGCCGCGUGUAUGAAGAAGGCCUUCGGGUUGUAAAGUACUUUCAGCGGGGAGGAAGGGAGUAAAGUUAAUACCUUUGCUCAUUGACGUUACCCGCAGAAGAAGCACCGGCUAACUCCGUGCCAGCAGCCGCGGUAAUACGGAGGGUGCAAGCGUUAAUCGGAAUUACUGGGCGUAAAGCGCACGCAGGCGGUUUGUUAAGUCAGAUGUGAAAUCCCC